This 625-nucleotide long non-coding RNA is filed under the name Aotus nancymaae (Ma's night monkey). Its description in RNAcentral is "lncRNA (ENSANAG00000038991.1)". The record is from RNAcentral. Lineage: Eukaryota; Metazoa; Chordata; Mammalia; Primates; Aotidae.
GGAGAGGCUCCUCGCCUGAUUUAUGCAGCCUUAAGAUGGGAGGGGCAGAAAGGUGCCUUGGGUAUGUGUGGUAAGACUUCAUCUGAUCUUAAGGCAACCAAUGUUUAUCAGGCAUUUUGCUAGGCACUGGAACUUCAAAAAUGACUAAGAGAUCUCUAUUGAAAGCGUUUAAGAUUUGGUGAGGGGGACAAGAAGAACACCUAAGCCGAAUACCAAGCCUGGUGACCUUGGAGACAGGAACAGGAACCAAGCGCAACGGUUGAACAUCUUUGGGAAGACAAGACCCUCUUCCCCUGGGGUCAGAUGUAAAGGCCCGCAGAUACGCCAGCAGUCUCUCCGCGUCAAUAGCCUCCUGGGGGAACUACUGAAAGCAGCUAAUGGUUUUCUGUAGAACAUAAGUUGCAACAAUAAAGAACCAGUAUUUGUGGACCGCUUGCUGUAUACCAAUCUGUUGAAUCCUCACAAAAGCGAAAUGAGAUGAGUACCACAUUUUUCACGUGAAGUAAGUGGGUUCAGAGAGUUUAAAAACCUUCUGCAGACACACAGCCAUCAGCAGCAGAUCUAAGAUUGGAAUGUAGGUCAUCUGACUCCAGAGUCUACAGCAACUAAAAACUAUAUACAACUU